RNAcentral lists this microRNA precursor (190 nucleotides) under Oryza barthii. RNAcentral's name for it is "MIR812 microRNA precursor family". It matches the Rfam family "MIR812 microRNA precursor family". Lineage: Eukaryota; Viridiplantae; Streptophyta; Magnoliopsida; Poales; Poaceae. The record is from Rfam by way of RNAcentral.
GAAAAAAGCAAACACUGAAUUUCCGUGUCCAACUUUAACUGUCCGUUUUAUAUGAAAUUUUUUUAUAAUUCGUAUUUUUAUUGUUGUUAGAUGAUAAAACAUGAUUAAUAUUUUAUGCGUGACUUAUUUUUUAAUUUUUUUCAUAAUUUUUUUAAAUAAGACGGACGGUCAAACGUUAGGCACGGAAACU